ACAGUUAUUUGAGUAAGAAUUCAAGAAAGCCAAUGGCAUUUGUGGUUAUAAUUGGAUUGCCCUAGUUCCUCUGCACUAAUCAAUGCCGUUGUGCUGGCAAGGUUGUGCUCUCAUGCUGGCACGGCUUCAUGGGCAACCGUGACAUUAUCCCGACUUGUGCAGUGCCAGUCAGCGAAGGGAGCCAACCGUGCAUACAAAUAACUUAAAGAGGGAUCAGCCACUCGAGGAAGAACGCAUUAAGGGUUGCGAGAUGCUCAACAAGGGUGCUGCAGCGAGGCUGGAGGUAGGGCUGCCAUAGUAAAGGAUUGCAAAAGAGGGAAAUUUACAGGAUUCUUUGAAGAGACACCCAUUGUGUUGGAGGUCUCACAGCGCUUCCUGUCUCCAACACACAGCUCAUCCAUCCCUUCAAAGCCCAACAUAUUUUUUCCCACGUAUGAAGUCACUCCAACACUUACAGCAUGAUAUCUGGACACCGGUCACACACGGUAUGUUUGCC
Oxyura jamaicensis (ruddy duck) is the source of this 496-nucleotide long non-coding RNA. RefSeq lists it as uncharacterized. The transcript is spliced from 3 exons. The record is from RefSeq and is a predicted model, not a curated record. Lineage: Eukaryota; Metazoa; Chordata; Aves; Anseriformes; Anatidae.